Molecule: ribosomal RNA, 305 nt
Filed under: uncultured bacterium
Lineage: Bacteria
Description: bacterial SSU rRNA
Rfam family: Bacterial small subunit ribosomal RNA
Source: RNAcentral
GCCUACGGGGGGCAGCAGUAGGGAAUCUUCCACAAUGGGCGAAAGCCUGAUGGAGCAACGCCGCGUGGGUGAAGAAGGUCUUCGGAUCGUAAGACCCUGUUGUUAGAGAAGAAAGUGCGUGAGAGUAACUGUUCACGUUUCGACGGUAUCUAACCAGAAAGCCACGGCUAACUACGUGCCAGCAGCCGCGGUAAUACGUAGGUGGCAAGCGUUAUCCGGAUUUAUUGGGCGUAAAGGGAACGCAGGCGGUCUUUUAAGUCUGAUGUGGAAGCCUUCGGCUUCACCGGAGUAGUGCAUUGGAAACU